GAGUUAUGUUGAGUUGACUUAAGAAUUCUGUUUGAUUUGAAUUAUAGUAGGAUAUGGUAGAUGAACAGGAUUUACUAGUAGCUUAUGAACCACGACAUAAGAUGCUAGCAAAACUCUGCUCAUCUGUUGCACCCUUGCUCGAUUUAGAGAGUGGGGUGUGAUAUUUAGUGAUAUUAGAGUAAAAGUAGUAGAUUGCAUGGGCAUAUGCAUAGCAUAAUUAUUUUUAAUUUUGUUGCCUGGCU
Molecule: long non-coding RNA, 242 nt
Filed under: Elaeis guineensis (African oil palm)
Lineage: Eukaryota; Viridiplantae; Streptophyta; Magnoliopsida; Arecales; Arecaceae
Description: long non-coding RNA (EGUI_LNC041580)
Source: RNAcentral